UACGGGGGGAGCAAGCGUUGUUCGGAUUUACUGGGCGUAACGGGCGCGUAGGCGGCGCAACAAGUCACUUGUGAAAUCUCCGGGCUUAACCCGGAGCGGCCAAGUGAUACUGUCGUGCUAGAGUGCGGAAGGGGCUACUGGAAUUCUCGGUGUAGCGGUGAAAUGCGUAGAUAUCGAGAGGAACACCUGCGGCGAAGGCGGGUAGCUGGGCCGACACUGACGCUGAUGCGCGAAAGCCAGGGGAGCGAACGGG
RNAcentral lists this ribosomal RNA (253 nucleotides) under uncultured bacterium. RNAcentral describes it as "partial 16S ribosomal RNA". It matches the Rfam family "Bacterial small subunit ribosomal RNA", at positions 524 to 776 of the family's 1533-position model. The record is from RNAcentral.